RNAcentral lists this ribosomal RNA (489 nucleotides) under uncultured bacterium. RNAcentral describes it as "bacterial SSU rRNA". It matches the Rfam family "Bacterial small subunit ribosomal RNA", at positions 28 to 507 of the family's 1533-position model. The record is from RNAcentral.
GAUGAACGCUAGCGACAGGCUUAACACAUGCAAGUCGAGGGGCAGCAUAAAAGUAGCAAUACUUUGGUGGCGACCGGCGCACGGGUGAGUAACGCGUAUGCAACCUACCUAUCAGAGGGGAAUAACCCGGCGAAAGUCGGACUAAUACCGCAUAAAACAGGGGCACCGCAUGGUGAUAUUUGUUAAAGAAAUUCGCUGAUAGAUGGGCAUGCGUUCCAUUAGGUAGUUGGUGAGGUAACGGCUCACCAAGCCGACGAUGGAUAGGGGAACUGAGAGGUUGGUCCCCCACACUGGUACUGAGACACGGACCAGACUCCUACGGGAGGCAGCAGUGAGGAAUAUUGGGUCAAUGGGGCGGGAGCCUGAACCAGCCAAGUCGCGUGAAGGAAGAAGGAUCUAUGGUUCGUAAACUUCUUUUGCAGGGGAAUAAAGUGCAGGACGUGUCCUGUUUUGUAUGUACCCUGAGAAUAAGGAUCGACUAACUCCGUG